CAGCCAAGUCGUGAGGCGGAGCUAAUCCCUUAAAGCCAUUCUCAGUUCGGAUUGUAGGCUGAAACUCGCCUACAUGAAGCUGGAGUUACUAGUAAUCGCAGAUCAGAAUGCUGCGGUGAAUGCGUUCCCGGGUCUUGUGCACACCGCCCGUCACACCACGGAAGUUGGGGGCGCCCGAAGCCACUUAGCUAACCCUUUUGGGAAGCGAGUGUCGAAGGUGAAAUCAAUAACUGGGGUGAAGUCGUAACAAGGUAGC
Molecule: ribosomal RNA, 256 nt
Filed under: uncultured bacterium
Lineage: Bacteria
Description: partial 16S ribosomal RNA
Rfam family: Bacterial small subunit ribosomal RNA
Source: RNAcentral